CUAUUUUGGCCUGGAUCUAAAGGGCCCGAGGUGGCCCAAACCUAUGUGGCCCAAACCUAACUGAGGCCCAAACCAAACAGAAGCCCAAAGCAGAUUUGGAAACCCUUAGGGUUUCUAGGAUAGAUCCUCGCGCCGCAACCAUCAGCAAGAGCCGAAUCUUCAUACCUGCACGAAAAUGGAAACAAACAAUAUAUGGAAAAUAAAAUCAGAGAUUUGCAAAUCAAAUCAAAAGAAAACAGAUAUUUUUUCUUCUUUUAAUUGUUUCAUUCGGCUAUAUAAAAAGCCACCAAAGCACUGUAAUGGGGGCCGAUUUUCGAAAUCAAUAAAAAAGGGCACGAUUAUAUUCACAAGAAAAGAGAGAAUACAACAUAAAGCAAAAUCAGUCCUAAGGUUUACAUCUAUUUUUUUUAAAAAUUCGUUUUUACGUUAAUCUACUGUUGUUAUUUUCAUUUUUUAUUUCUAUAUAAAUAAAACAAAAAAAAAAACUACCUUUCUUUAGACUCUGAGGCGGCGCUGAGGCGUUUGAGGGAACCACCCCCGAGGACCGGUGGUCGAAAACCGAAAGGUUUCUCGAUUUUGUAGGGAUUUUUUUGUUAAUUUUUGGGAGUUUUGAGCCUGGAUCUGGGUUUAGAAGGGUCGAAAAGGCCGAAUAGGGAAUUUUCCCUUUUUUUGGCCACCGCAGACGGCGGUCCUGGCGCCAGAGAUCAGCGGCCGGCGCGGUGGCCGAUGAUCGGCCGUUGAUCGGACUUAGGUCGGAGCUUGGAGAAAAGGGGGGAAGGUUGAGAGUGCUUUCUUCAGAUUUUUU
Molecule: long non-coding RNA, 805 nt
Filed under: Gossypium raimondii (Peruvian cotton)
Lineage: Eukaryota; Viridiplantae; Streptophyta; Magnoliopsida; Malvales; Malvaceae
Description: long non-coding RNA (GRAI_LNC010291)
Source: RNAcentral